RNAcentral lists this ribosomal RNA (435 nucleotides) under uncultured bacterium. Its description in RNAcentral is "bacterial SSU rRNA". It matches the Rfam family "Bacterial small subunit ribosomal RNA", at positions 64 to 498 of the family's 1533-position model. The record is from RNAcentral.
AAACGAUACUAGCUUGCUAGUAGGCGUCGAGUGGCGGACGGGUGAGUAACGCGUAGGAAUCUACCUGAUAGUGGGGGAUAGCCCGAAGAAAUUCGGAUUAAUACCGCAUAAUCUAUUCGUAGUAAAGUGGGGGACUUUCGAGCCUCACGCUAUCAGAUGAGCCUGCGUAAGAUUAGCUAGUUGGUAGGGUAAAAGCCUACCAAGGCGACGAUCUUUAGCUGGUCUGAGAGGAUGAUCAGCCACAUCGGGACUGAGACACGGCCCGAACUCCUACGGGAGGCAGCAGUGGGGAAUAUUGGACAAUGGGGGCAACCCUGAUCCAGCAAUACCGCGUGUGUGAAGAAGGCCUGAGGGUUGUAAAGCACUUUCAAUUGGAAGAAAAGCUAGUGGUUAAUAGCCAUUAGCCUUGACGUUAACUUAGAAGAAGCACCGGCU